ACAUGGCUGGCUUGGUCAGUAGAGCAUGAGACUCCUGAUCUCAAGGUGGUGAGUUCAAGUCCCAUGUUGCGCA
Molecule: transfer RNA, 73 nt
Filed under: Canis lupus familiaris (dog)
Lineage: Eukaryota; Metazoa; Chordata; Mammalia; Carnivora; Canidae
Also listed under: 1 other name
Rfam family: tRNA
About the family: Transfer RNA (tRNA) molecules are approximately 80 nucleotides in length.
Source: Rfam by way of RNAcentral